GAUUUCUGGUACGAUGCCCCUGAUCCGCGGCUUUCGGGCUGUGUGUGUUGGUGUGGCGUCUGCCAUCUUUUGUGAAUACUCGCCCAGGCCUUUACUGGUUUGGUGUCGACGUGUUUGCAAGUUUUACUUUGGAAUAAUAAGAUAGGACUUCGGUUCUAUUUUGUUGGUUUCUAGUACUGAAGUAAUGAUUGAUAGGGACAGUUGGGGGUGCUAGUAUUCAGCGGCCAGAGGUGAAAUUCUUGGAUUCGCUGAAGACUAACUUAUGCGAAAGCAUU
Molecule: ribosomal RNA, 275 nt
Filed under: uncultured Sarcomonadea
Lineage: Eukaryota; Cercozoa
Description: partial 18S ribosomal RNA
Rfam family: Eukaryotic small subunit ribosomal RNA (bases 112-275)
Source: RNAcentral